This is a long non-coding RNA of Grus americana (Whooping crane), 3394 nucleotides long. RefSeq lists it as uncharacterized. The transcript is spliced from 4 exons. NCBI's taxonomy places the organism in Eukaryota, Metazoa, Chordata, Aves, Gruiformes, Gruidae. The record is from RefSeq and is a predicted model, not a curated record.
UCUUUUCAGUGUUUGCCAAGCUACCUAGUCUGCUUUAUUUUCCUCUUAUUUUUUUCAUAAUCCAGCUGAGGCAGACUUCUCUGAGCUGGAAAGGAAAUAUCAAUAGCAAGAGUUUCUGUCUCACUGGAACAACACCUGACUGCUUUGUCCACGUUGCCUGUGCUGUUGGGUAGCCACUCCUACUUCACGAGCACAUUCUUCCAGCAUUAUUUCCAUUGUUAUGAAUUUUUACCAUCCUUCAUCACUCUCUGAAAUGAAUUGACUUUAGCUUUGGCAGAAAAGAAAAGGGGGGGGGGGGCAGAAAACCACAGUUCAAAUAAACCUAUCUGAGCCUUCAAAAACAUUUGAUGCAUUAUCAAAAUAGAAAAACAGCUGUAAGAAAGUGUUUUACUGUUUACCGUGUAAUCAUAGAGGCACACAUUCUGUAAAUCACUGAAACUGCAACCGGAAUGUGGCAAGGGCAGUGCCAAAUGACCCUGGGAUGCCGUUAAUCACAAUUCUCAUCAAGCCUAUGGUUAUUUUUGAGCUGUGUGAUUUACUCUGAAACAGUCCUUAAAUCAGGCUAUAUAUCUGAAUUCCCUGAAGUGACCUACCGCAAUGGGGCACUUAGAAACAUGGUCCCACAUUUUGCUAGAAAGUCUCAUUGCCUUCUGACCAAAAAUUCUUAGGGGGAAACCCUGAAGCUGCAGAUGAGGACUCUGUUUCGGGUUACCUGUGGGAGUAAAUGAGCAAAUGAAAGAUCGGGAUUCCUCAGUGAAGAAGAGAUUUGAAUUGGAUACACCUGGAAGCUGUUCUUCCUCCACAUGCCCGUGUCCUUUACAUUGUCUCAGCUACUCAGCUGAGUCAGAACACUUACCCAGUGAAAUGAAACAUUUGCCAAAACAAAAGUCUUUGUAUAUUAUUUUAUUCACAGCUUUUGGGGGUAAGAGGGCAGUUCCCGUUGACCACAGGAGUGCCUGCAGGAGAGGCUUGGACAGAGUGCAGAAGAAGAAUGCAGAAGAACUACAGUCAUUGGAAGUAACUUUUCUUUCUCUUUCAAUACUCAUCCAUAUGCAUUAACACUGUGGGUGAUCCCAUGCACUUCAUAUACUCACCAAUUACCUAAAGUUAAAACUCCUGAUAUAGCUUCUUCUGAAAGACAGGGUGGGAGGAGUGGAGUCAACACAGUCAUUAUUGUGUAGAUCCAGAACUGAUGCCUACGCAAUAACAAUGCCAGAGAAGAGAAAGAGGGGCAGGAUUCUGUUCUGAGUAAAGGGAGAAAAUAAAUCACAGAAGUUUUUGAUGAACAUCUGGGAACUGUUCAGAUCUUCAAACUAGUGCUAAUCCAUACGAUGAGCAGUAGCAUGGAUGGGCAUGGAGUGGUAUGAGCUGAAGCUGUUCCUUCAGUAAGAAUGUUUGACAUCAUCCCUUAAGGCAUGAGGUAUAAUACCACCCAGUAUAGUUUAUAAUUAUAUUUUGUUGGUUUCCUUCACUUUCGUAACUUUUCCAGUCUUGAAAUCAAGAACUUAAUCUUUUGCUUUCCUUGAUUAAACUUUUGGUUUCUCUUUUAAGCAUGUCUGGUAGAAAGACUGAACCUGGAUAAAGAAGAUUCAAAGAAAGGACUUGUCUGGAGAGUAACUCAUCCAGUUAAACUGUGCAGGCAACAGCCUUCCUCCCUGCUGGAAGCUGAGAUACGUCUUUUGCCAGGUGAAGAGCAGCUUCAUAACAAAUGCAUUAGCAGAACACAGUGGAUAUCUGGGUCCUGACAUUCCAGCCUGGGGUUACCUGGUACUUAUGUCUCUCUGCUCUCUGCACGUUGAAUUUGCCAAAGAUCUCGAAACAGAACCACUCUGCUAUCUUCCUGUCACACCUUUAUGUAAGCUACGAAAGACUCCAAACUCUAAUGCUAAUUGUGACGUUAGCACAAAAGCAAACACAGUUGAAGAAGGUGACUCAGGAAGUAGGGAAUAUCAGACCUACUUCGUGAGGGAAGCAUGAAAAAAAUCAAUCCCAACCAAUGUUUCUUGCAGGAUGGCUGUCCUUUCUCCAAGUCCUAUCCAGGUUAGCAGCCGGCAGUGACUUUGUGGGUUGAAAUAAACAUUGAAGUAUUCUCUACAUUCUUAGGAAUGGCUCUCUCUUCUGUUUCCUCCGGACCUCAGCUUUGAGUCAGCACCACACCGUAGGCAAGCAGCUUGGUCCUCUCAGGAGUUGUUUCUCUCACUGCCUUCUCCACUGCAUUCAAAACGUUGUGUAGAGCUGAGCUUGCCCUUGAGGAAAGGAGCAAUUCCCCCUUCUCUUUUCCAGAAGUUUCAAUCUGACUCAGAGUACAGGAGCCAGAGUGAGGUAAACACACAAGUUUCUUCUUGGUCACCACCCAUUGGACCUCUUCAACAUAACGGGAAAUACACACCGGAUUUAUCCAAUAAACUGGAAACAAUCUAUCAUUUGUAACUACAACACUAUAGUAGCAAAGUGCACCAAAGUAAAGCACUUUUUAGUAACAACUUGGAUUUAAGAAGAUUUUAUUGCGUUAUAUAGAAGUUGAGUUUUGUCCACUAUUUCACCUGUUCUGGGAAAGAUUGGUUUGUGCCUCUCAGCAUACAGGACACUUAUUCUCAUAUAUAAAUACUUUCUUCUUGGGUUUCACAAUGGACAGAGUUUACUAUUAAAUAAAAGCCUUUCCAUUUAGAUUCACUACAGCACCACUGCUCUUCAACAAGGUGUCAUAUGUCUUAUUUUAUAUGAGUUGGGCUGAACCUGUUUUCUAAUGUGGGCAACUUCUUGAACACAGAACUAGCAAUAUACAUCUGAACAAUUUUUCUUUAAUAAUGCUUCUCUAAUUAUUUUUAAUCACUUGAGGAUUAUAAAGCCUAAGUAAUUCCUAUUCCUGCCAUUGGACAAAUAAGAUAUUAGGGAAAUUAUUCUUCCAGUCUUUGUCUGUGAUACUCUCCGCUAGUCUGUAAGUUCCUUGACUCACAUUCUGUCACUUUGCAUGUGCUUCUCCAGUAACUGGCUCCUGCUUUCAUUAGGGUGUUUAAAUACCAAGAUAAUACAAUGAAGUUAAUAUAAUCUGAAGUAUCUUAUUCUGCAACUGCAGAAUCUUGUCAGAAUGACUAUGAUUUCGUUUGCAAAUCUGGAUUUUAGGGAGCAGAAAAUAAUGUUUGUUUUUCCCAACCAACAUGGGAAGCAGGAAAGCGUGUGCAGCUGUUGUUAAUAAUUUUAACUUUAGUAGCCAGUUGUAAGAAAUUUGUGUCUCACAUAUUUAAGCAGAUUCUUAUGUAUGCCUGUAAAGAAGUGAAUAAAUUGAACUAUUCACGUCUAUUUCUGUAGUGGAUAUAGUAAUAUGACUACUAGUACGUUCCAAUAUGAAAUAAGUGCUCACAAAAGCUCUUAGAGCAGCAGUUUUGUGAUCCCA